This 300-nucleotide ribosomal RNA is filed under the name uncultured Collinsella sp. RNAcentral's name for it is "bacterial SSU rRNA". It matches the Rfam family "Bacterial small subunit ribosomal RNA", at positions 496 to 795 of the family's 1533-position model. Lineage: Bacteria; Bacillati; Actinomycetota; Coriobacteriia; Coriobacteriales; Coriobacteriaceae. The record is from RNAcentral.
ACGAACUUGGGUGCAAUGGUCGGUGUAAGUCGGAGGGGGCGAGUGUGAAUCAGACGUACUGUGCGGUAAGUGGUCGCGGGCGGCAGAGCAAGUCAGUGGUGAAAGCCCCGGGCUGAACGUGGGAAUUGCGCUCGAAACGACUGUGCUGGAGUGUGGCAGAGGAAAGUGGAAUUCCACGUGUAGCGGUGAAAUGCGUAGAGAAGUGGAGGAACACCAAUGUCGAAGGCAGCCUUCUGGGCCAACACUGACGCUCAUGCACGAAAGCGUGGGGAGCAAACAGGAUUAGAUACCCCUGUAGUC